RNAcentral lists this ribosomal RNA (383 nucleotides) under uncultured Sphingobacteriales bacterium. Its description in RNAcentral is "bacterial SSU rRNA". It matches the Rfam family "Bacterial small subunit ribosomal RNA", at positions 996 to 1382 of the family's 1533-position model. The record is from RNAcentral. Lineage: Bacteria; Pseudomonadati; Bacteroidota; Sphingobacteriia; Sphingobacteriales.
AUUUUAGUAGAUAGAAAUUCCCUUCGGGCUUUCUGCAAGGUGCUGCAUGGUUGUCGUCAGCUCGUGCCGUGAGGUGUCGGGUUAAGUCCCAUAACGAGCGCAACCCUUAUCGUUAGUUGCCAGCUGGUAAAGCAGGGGACUCUAGCGAAACUGCCACCGUAAGGUGAGAGGAAGGUGGGAUGACGUCAAAUCAGCACGGCCCUUAUGUCCAGGGCUACACACGUGUUACAAUGGCCGGCACAGAGGGCAGCUACCUGGUGACAGGAUGCUAAUCUCGAAAACCGGUCUCAGUUCGGAUCGAAGUCUGCAACUCGACUUCGUGAAGCUGGAUUCGCUAGUAAUCGCGCAUCAGCCAUGGCGCGGUGAAUACGUUCCCGGGCCUU